RNAcentral lists this ribosomal RNA (400 nucleotides) under uncultured bacterium. RNAcentral's name for it is "bacterial SSU rRNA". It matches the Rfam family "Bacterial small subunit ribosomal RNA", at positions 355 to 772 of the family's 1533-position model. The record is from RNAcentral.
UGGGGAAUUUUGGACAAUGGGGGAAACCCUGAUCCAGCCAUGCCGCGUGAAGGAAGAAGUAUUUCGGUAUGUAAACUUCUAUCAGCAGGGAAGAAAAUGACGGUACCUGACUAAGAAGCCCCGGCUAACUACGUGCCAGCAGCCGCGGUAAUACGUAGGGGGCAAGCGUUAUCCGGAUUUACUGGGUGUAAAGGGAGCGUAGGCGGUUCAGCAAGUCAGAAGUGAAAGCCCGGGGCUCAACUCCGGGACUGCUUUUGAAACUGUUGAACUAGAUUGCAGGAGAGGUAAGUGGAAUUCCUAGUGUAGCGGUGAAAUGCGUAGAUAUUAGGAGGAACACCAGUGGCGAAGGCGGCUUACUGGACUGUAAAUGACGCUGAGGCUCGAAAGCGUGGGGAGCAAA